AGCAGAUGAACGGUUUAACAAAUCCCGGUAGCAAAUUCAGGCGACUGCUUCAUGGAAGCAGCUUGAAUCAUCACAAAAUCAAUGAAAUCAGACAAACACCCAAGCAAAUUGUUGGUGUAAGUGAUUCCAAAUUUCCCCUUCCGCAUCGCCUCUUUAAAGAUCUCAGAGGUCACCUUCCGGCGAAUCUCGAGAGCCCUCCUUAU
RNAcentral lists this unclassified non-coding RNA (203 nucleotides) under Hevea brasiliensis (rubber tree). The record is from RNAcentral. Lineage: Eukaryota; Viridiplantae; Streptophyta; Magnoliopsida; Malpighiales; Euphorbiaceae.